CUUGACCCUUGGGCCGCCCCUGCUUGUAGCUCACUCUCUAGUAACCAUUCUUGCUAGGGUUUUUCUUAUCAGUUCUACUUGAAAGAGCCCUUCCCCUGCUGCGUCCUCCUUGUUGCGUCAUGUUGCUGCUGAUCGGAGAAGAACCAGUAAGAACUUUAUCUUCAAUUUCUUUACCCGGUUGCUUCUUCACUAAAUUAUGAAAAAUCAAUUUCUGUGAUUGUCUUUUAUUAGUGAAGUACUUAAUUGGGUAUAAGUAUCUUAAAUUCUUGGUUGAAUACAUACGCCGCCUCUUAAACUUGUCCGAAUUUUUCAUUUAAACACUCGAACUAAAAGAGAAAAAGAGAAAUCGCUUGAUUUUGGGCCUUUAAAAAAUUGUAGACUAAAGUCAUAUACAGAGAGUGUCUUAUACUUUGGAGAGAAAAAAUUAGAAGAAAAUAAAGAAUGCAGAUAUAAUGUGAUUUUGUGGUGUUAUGCAAAAUCGCCAAAUUGAGAUAUUAUGGCCAUAACAUGCUAUGCUUUCUGUGCUCGUUUAUGUGAUAUACACAACUGUGGAUGCUAAAAAUUUUACAAGUUAAAUAGAAAUACAUCAAUAGGCUAUAACUAUUUUAUUUUGUGAACAGUCCCCCUACCUUUACAAAUUACAAUUGUGCACUGUAGCAGGAAAGAUCACUACAACAGAGAAAGAGCAUAGUUUUGCUUAAUAGUUUGAUAAAGAAAAAAAUUGGAGUGCCUUGAAAGCUACUUGAAAUUGUUAUUUGUCCUCGUCCUGGUACUGAAAAAUUGAUUAGUCAGGCCCUGAAAUUUGGGCCACUACAAAUCUAACAACCAUAUAUAGUACAUGGUAGGAUUUCUAUAGUAGGUAGUUAGCUCUCUUCUUUUAUGUUAUAUGGUGUUGGUUCUUAUUUGAUGAUUUCUUAGCAUUAGCUUGGUUAUAAGAACUUUUUUAUAUCAUUCAUUGCUGCCCAAAUUUUUUUUUUUUGAUAUGUACUUGUUUACUUUAUAGUUUUCUUUUAUAAAAAAUAUAAUUAUAAUUUAUCUUUUUUAGUAGGAUGAGGAUGAGUAAAGCAACAUAGCUAACAAUAUGGUUCAUCUAAAGAUCAGGCUAUUAGAAGAAGAUUUACUUUUUGGGUUGUUAUUAGAUUAGAAAUAAUGACCUGUAGAUGCUUUUUUUUAAAAGUAAGAACAUGUGUUUUAGUAGUACUUAGUUUUUUAAAGUAUGUAAAUACUUAGUGCAUCAGUUGUAUUGACCUUUGCAAAUAUAUAUAUCAUGUAUUAAUUUAUAUAUAUUUGUGAUAUUUUAAAAGAAAAUGUGAAUUGUGUAUGUAACAACUAUUUUGUGUGCAGACGAGGACUAUAAAUAUGAUGGAUAUUAAUUGAAUAUGAUAAUAAGUGUAUGAGGUGUAUUUGAAGUAAUAUAGGGCAUAAGGAGAGCCCUUGGAACAAAUCAAGUUUGAAAUUACAUGAUAGACUAAAGUUCCAAAUGAGUAUACACAAGACCUAACUUUGAAUGAGCAUAUCUAUAUAUAUAUAUAUAUAUAUAUAUAUAUAUAAAGCGUUAUGCAAUGUACAACCUAUAAAAUAAAAAAUUUUCGAGUCUAGUUUUCUAUUUUCUAACUCUUCAAACUGUUUUUCAUUUGGAUAUUCCUACAAGAAGUUAAGACCAAAUUACCAAAGGCUGGCAGAGGAGUGAACUGGGGAUGCGAAGCAUCCGGAGCCGCGUCCGAAAGAAAGGCUGGCAGUGAAGUACAGCCAUAGCAUCCGGGUCCGCAUCCGAGCUUCAAAGAGGAGUGAACUGGGGAUGCGAAACAUUCGGGGCCGUCCAAAACCCAGAAAUCUAGGCCUAUAAAUACAAAAUCGGGAAAAUAUAGUAUUUUGUGUAUUGGGGGUUAGGGUUCUUGAGGCGAAGAGGUAAUUUUGAGCUCAAAUUAAGUCC
This 1933-nucleotide long non-coding RNA is filed under the name Nicotiana tabacum (common tobacco). Its description in RNAcentral is "long non-coding RNA (NTAB_LNC010691)". The record is from RNAcentral. Lineage: Eukaryota; Viridiplantae; Streptophyta; Magnoliopsida; Solanales; Solanaceae.